GUGCACAUAGUUUAACCAAGACGCCGGGUCGUGACCCCGGAGACAGGGUAUAAACCCCCCUUGUUCACC
Molecule: transfer RNA, 69 nt
Filed under: Tarentola mauritanica (Moorish gecko)
Lineage: Eukaryota; Metazoa; Chordata; Lepidosauria; Squamata; Phyllodactylidae
Description: tRNA-His
Rfam family: tRNA
About the family: Transfer RNA (tRNA) molecules are approximately 80 nucleotides in length. Their secondary structure includes four short double-helical elements and three loops (D, anti-codon, and T loops).
Source: RNAcentral